Molecule: non-coding RNA, 28 nt
Filed under: Bombyx mori (domestic silkworm)
Lineage: Eukaryota; Metazoa; Arthropoda; Insecta; Lepidoptera; Bombycidae
Source: RNAcentral
ACCAACAAGAAAGUGAAGCCCAAGAAAC